This 164-nucleotide ribosomal RNA is filed under the name uncultured bacterium. RNAcentral describes it as "partial 16S rRNA". It matches the Rfam family "Bacterial small subunit ribosomal RNA", at positions 355 to 511 of the family's 1533-position model. The record is from RNAcentral.
UAGGGAAUCUUCCACAAUGGACGCAAGUCUGAUGGAGCAACGCCGCGUGAGUGAAGAAGGUCUUCGGAUCGUAAAACUCUGUUAUUAGAGAAGAACACGAGUGAGAGUAACUGUUCAUUCGAUGACGGUAUCUAACCAGCAAGUCACGGCUAACUACGUGCCAG